AAGAAAGUCAUUUGCGGGAAGAAGAAAAGUUAGAACGUGAAAGUAGAAACAAAAAACUCGAAGCUGAAAAUACUAACUUGCGAAAUCACUUGAAAGAUCAGGAAGAACAGAUGGAGAAAAAACAAAGGGAUGUAGUGAAGAAAACCGAGACAAUAGCAAAACUGCGAGAAAGUGAACGACUAAUGCAUGAGAAAUAUAAAAAUUUCCGUUGCAACGUUAUCUGUUAUGCUGUCAUUUGUAUCGCUGUCCUGGUCGCUGUUCAUGAUGUUAUGGGAAUAUCAUUGCAAG
Styela clava is the source of this 288-nucleotide non-coding RNA. Lineage: Eukaryota; Metazoa; Chordata; Ascidiacea; Stolidobranchia; Styelidae. The record is from RefSeq and is a predicted model, not a curated record.